This 617-nucleotide long non-coding RNA is filed under the name Physcomitrium patens. Its description in RNAcentral is "long non-coding RNA (PPAT_LNC000048)". Lineage: Eukaryota; Viridiplantae; Streptophyta; Bryopsida; Funariales; Funariaceae. The record is from RNAcentral.
UACAAUAUCUUCCACAUUCUAUCAAUUUCUCUUCUAAUAAAUAAAAUAUUACAAUUGAUAAUUCUAUCUUAUAUAUUCACUGUCUUUUUUUCUCUCCAAAUUUAUAAUAAUAAUAUGUAAUACCAUACUAUCUUAAAAGAUUACAUAAAAUAUUCGAUAAUCCAAUCACUGGAAUUCUCCAAAACUAAUUGUCAUUCCCAGUAAUCUACCUCACACAAUUCCAAACUCCACAAACUUCUUUUUGUGGAAUAUUCUUAAUUCUCAAUAAUCAAUGUAUUAUAAUUCUCUCAUUCAUAUUUAUACAUCACAAACAUCUUUAAUUCUUAACUUUUUAAUUCUUUACUUAUAAUUCAGCAUACAAUAAAUUCAAUUUUUUAUUUGACAUCAUAUAAAUCAAAUCCUUCUUUUAUAACAAAAUUUCACUUCACAUUAUUCAAAAUCUAUUAAUUACCUUUUUUCUAUAAAGAAAAUAAAAAAAAGAGAUAGCACCAAGCUUACCUUGGUUCAUGACUAUCACAGUCUGGUCUUUUUUACUUCUUCUUCAACCCAUUUAUAUUUACCCCAAAACAAAGAUUCCAACCAAAAUUUCUUACUUAAUUAUUUUUCUUCACUAAAUC